AAAAAUGGUCUCCCUCACAUACACUUAACCGAGCCAGCUAAGGAGAUACCAAAACUGUCCCAACUUUUUUCAUGUCAAAUGAAUGAGGUUUGUUUCAGUCCCAACAGCAAAAUAGAAAUGCUGUCUUAGUAGAAUCAAACUAAUAGCCACUAAUGGUAAAUCCAGCCCUUUCUACCAUUUAAACUCUCCCUGGAAAUGCCUGAAAUUCCAUUUUAGCAGUUCUCGGAUUCGGAAUCAUCUUCUUUGUAUUCAUUGAUAGAUGAAAUGCACAUAACCUCUAAAUUUCCAGUGGGAGAGGAGGUCAGACAAAGCACUGGGCCCUAGGGAGAGGGAAGUGGAGAUGCAAAAAAGGGAAGAAGGGCCCCCCUCCUUUUGGAGAGACUCUAAGAGGGGCCACUGGAUCCACUCGGUGCAUGUCACUGAGGAAGCUCUAAACCCUGGUUUGUCCAGUUCAGCACUCCCCAAGCCUUAGAAGGUUGUUUGUCAGCCCCUUGUGGGGUUCUGUUCCAAAGACUGCAUGAACCCACUGAAUGCCUAGAGCCACAUGUGGCCAUAUUCACAGGGAUAUGAGCAAGGAACUCCAACAUGUUCUUCUGGCCACGCUUCCCUCUGAGCAGCCGUGUCAUCAAGAGAGUAAGAGUUCAAAACUAGGCUCUACUCUCCCAGGAUUCACCAGAACCACUUCUGUUUCCCUUUCCAGGAAGCAAAGCAAAACCACACUCAGAAAAUAACGAGAAAGAG
Molecule: long non-coding RNA, 741 nt
Filed under: Homo sapiens (human)
Lineage: Eukaryota; Metazoa; Chordata; Mammalia; Primates; Hominidae
Description: HSALNT0273407
Source: RNAcentral